CCUACGGGUGGCAGCAGUGGGGAAUAUUGCACAAUGGGGGGAACUCUGAUGCAGCGACGCCGCGUGAGCGAAGAAGUAUUUCGGUAUGUAAAGCUCUAUCAGCAGGGAAGAAAGUGACGGUACCUGAGUAAGAAGCUCCGGCUAAAUACGUGCCAGCAGCCGCGGUAAUACGUAGGGAGCAAGCGUUAUCCGGAUUUACUGGGCGUAAAGGGUGCGUAGGCGGCCGGCCAAGUUUGAUGUGAAAUACCGAGGCUCAACCCCGGGGCUGCAUUGGAUACUGGCAGGCUGGAGUGCAGGAGAGGCAGGCGGAAUUCAUAGUGUAGCGGUGAAAUGCGUAGAUAUUAGGAGGAACACCAGUGGCGAAGGCGGCCUGCUGGACGGUGACUGACGCUGAGGCUCGAAAGCGUGGGGAGCAAACAGGAUUAGAUACCCCUGUAGUC
This 440-nucleotide ribosomal RNA is filed under the name uncultured bacterium. Its description in RNAcentral is "partial 16S ribosomal RNA". It matches the Rfam family "Bacterial small subunit ribosomal RNA", at positions 338 to 795 of the family's 1533-position model. The record is from RNAcentral.